This is a non-coding RNA of 228 nucleotides. It matches the Rfam family "T-box leader". From Rfam's summary of the family: Uncharged tRNA acts as the effector for transcription antitermination of genes in the T-box leader family. T-boxes are found upstream of many aminoacyl-tRNA synthetase genes and some amino acid biosynthetic genes usually in Gram-positive bacteria. The anticodon of a specific tRNA base pairs to a specifier sequence within the T-box motif, and the NCCA acceptor tail of the tRNA base pairs to a conserved bulge in the T-box antiterminator hairpin.
AAUAAAUCAUUGAAUAGAAGUAGUAGGUUAUUAUUUUAUUUAUAGAGAACUAGUGUUUGGUGGAAACUAGUAAUAAUUAAAUAACUGAAUGGAUCUAUGAGAGGAUACCUGAAUUAUAGUAGGGUGUCACGGGAGCUCCCGUUAUAGAGCUAGAGUAUGAUAGUACUUAAAUAAGGGUUCUUUAUAGAACUAAAUAUGAGGUGGCACCACGUUUAUAACGUCCUCUAC